CACGGACCGCACGAACGUUAUUCGAUAUCACUGGGCUUAAAGGGUGCGUAGGCGGCCUGCCAAGUUGGGUGUGAAAGUCCUCGGCUCAACCGAGGAAUUGCGCUCAAUACUGGCGGGCUUGAGAGAGACAGAGGUAAGCGGAACUAAUGGUGGAGCGGUGAAAUGCGUUGAUAUCAUUAGGAACACCGGUGGCGAAGGCGGCUUACUGGGUCUUUUCUGACGCUGAGGCACGAAAGCCAGGGGAGCGAACGGG
This 253-nucleotide ribosomal RNA is filed under the name uncultured bacterium. RNAcentral's name for it is "partial 16S ribosomal RNA". It matches the Rfam family "Bacterial small subunit ribosomal RNA", at positions 524 to 776 of the family's 1533-position model. The record is from RNAcentral.